AGAGUUUGAUCCUGGCUCAGAUUGAACGCUGGCGGUAUGCUUAACACAUGCAAGUCGAACGGAAACGAUGGUAGCUUGCUACCAGGCGUCAAGUGGCGGACGGGUGAGUAACGCGUAGGAAUCUGCCCAGUAGUGGGGGACAACCAGGGGAAACCCUGGCUAAUACCGCAUACACUCUACGGAGAAAAGGAGGCCUCUUCUUGAAAGCUCGCUAUUGUAUGAGCCUGCGUGAGAUUAGCUAGUUGGUGAGGUAAAGGCUCACCAAGGCGACGAUCUCUAGCUGGUCUGAGAGGACGAUCAGCCACACUGGGACUGAGACACGGCCCAGACUCCUACGGGAGGCAGCAGUGGGGAAUAUUGGACAAUGGGCGCAAGCCUGAUCCAGCAAUGCCGCGUGUGUGAAGAAGGCCUGAGGGUUGUAAAGCACUUUCAAUUGGGAGGAAGCAUAGCGGUUAAUACCCGUUAUCUGUGACGUUAGCAACAGAAGAAGCACCGGCUAACUCCGUGCCAGCAGCCGCGGUAAUACGGAGGGUGCGAGCGUUAAUCGGAAUUACUGGGCGUAAAGCGUGCGUAGGCGGUUGCCUCAGUCAGAUGUGAAAGCCCCGGGCUUAACCUGGGAACUGCAUUUUGAACUGGUCGACUAGAGUUUUGUAGAGGGGGGUGGAAUUUCCAGUGUAGCGGUGAAAUGCGUAGAGAUUGGAAGGAACAUCAGUGGCGAAGGCGGCCACCUGGACAAAAGCUGACGCUGAGGCCCGAAAGCGUGGGGAGCGAACAGGAUUAGAUACCCUGGUAGUCCACGCCGUAAACGAUGUCAACUAGCCGUCCGUAGACUUGAUCUGUGGGUGGCGCAGCUAACGCAUUAAGUUGACCGCCUGGGGAGUACGGCCGUAAGGUUAAAACUCAAAUGAAUUGACGGGGGCCCGCACAAGCGGUGGAGCAUGUGGUUUAAUUCGAUGCAACGCGAAGAACCUUACCUACCCUUGACAUCCUCAGAACUUGUUAGAGAUAACUUGGUGCCUUCGGGAACUGAGUGACAGGUGCUGCAUGGCUGUCGUCAGCUCGUGUUGUGAAAUGUUGGGUUAAGUCCCGUAACGAGCGUAACCCUUGUCCUUAUUUGCCAGCAUGUAAUGGCGGGAGCUCUAAGGAGACUGCCGGUGACAAACCGGAGGAAGGUGGGGACGACGUCAAGUCAUCAUGGCCCUUAUGGGUAGGGCUACACACGUGCUACAAUGGGCGGUACAGAGGGCAGCGACCUCGCGAGAGCCAGCAAAUCCCAGAAAGCCGUUCCUAGUCCGGAUUGGAGUCUGCAACUCGACUCCAUGAAGCUGGAAUCGCUAGUAAUCGCGGAUCAGAAUGCCGCGGUGA
Molecule: ribosomal RNA, 1365 nt
Filed under: uncultured prokaryote
Description: partial 16S ribosomal RNA
Rfam family: Bacterial small subunit ribosomal RNA
Source: RNAcentral